GCCGUGGUGGUGGAAUUGGUAGACACGCCAUCUUGAGGGGGUGGUGAGCUAUGCUCGUGCGGGUUCAAGUCCCGCCCACGGCA
RNAcentral lists this transfer RNA (83 nucleotides) under Pseudoalteromonas ruthenica. It matches the Rfam family "tRNA". From Rfam's summary of the family: Transfer RNA (tRNA) molecules are approximately 80 nucleotides in length. Their secondary structure includes four short double-helical elements and three loops (D, anti-codon, and T loops). Lineage: Bacteria; Pseudomonadati; Pseudomonadota; Gammaproteobacteria; Alteromonadales; Pseudoalteromonadaceae. The record is from Rfam by way of RNAcentral. RNAcentral also lists the same sequence under 2 other names.